GCGAUCCUCUAUUCUCCACUCCAAUUUGUUCCUUGAAAUCCUCAAACAGACCAGGGAUAGUGACCCGCAAUUCGGUCGACCGAAAGGCUUUCCAGAUAAUCGAAGCAUGUCAGAUCUCUAAAGCUCGCAACUUACAGUCUUUCGAAAUCAAGGCUACUAAUGAUAAUAAUCAAAGCACCACCAAAGCAAAGAGCAUCGUUUGUUCUAACUGUGAAGGAAU
Molecule: long non-coding RNA, 220 nt
Organism: Neltuma alba
Lineage: Eukaryota; Viridiplantae; Streptophyta; Magnoliopsida; Fabales; Fabaceae
Exons: 3
Source: RefSeq, a predicted model, not a curated record